UGAGACUCUAGAGUGUGGGUAGCUAUGAUCCAGUAUUCUGGUAGCUUAGGGGGUGUUCUGUUCACAGUGGGCAAGAUAGUGAGGGAAUUCUCACACUGUAUUGUCUAGCCAGGAUUCCGUUUCCUGGUAGUUAAGAGGUGUUUUGUUCACACUGGGCAGGAUGGCAAAUAGUCCUUAUAUUAUAGUGUCUGAGAGCAGACACCUUCUGAACAUCUAUAGAUAUGCCAUUGCUGGGAUCUAUGAAUACCUUUAGGUCUCUGCUAGAGAUAUGGCUACACCCUGCUACCUCACCAGUUCCUCCUUCAGGAGAUUGUGUGUGUGUGUGUGUGUGUGUGUGUGUGUGUGUGUGUGUGUGUAUCUAGAUUCUGUCCCCUUUACAUUGUCUCCAAGGUAGGGUAACAUUUGCCCAUUAGCUUGGAGUUCCAUAUCCAUCAAACUAAGGGGAACUUCUCAUAAGGAGGGACAAUCUGCAGCCCCUAUCUCCAUUUUUCAGAGGCACUCCUGUCUGGAUCUUCUGAAGUCAGCACCUUGGCCAAGACCAGAGCUGAUGAGGGUAAUGGGUGGGAAACAGUUACCACAGGGCCCUGCGCAGGCAGGAUAAACUCACUGGCUCCUUUUCCUGGUAGGCAGGUCAGAUGUGUCAGAGAGUAGCUGUGAAUGCAGCCCGACAUACAAAGCCACAAACUUAUUCCAGAACACUGGGAGACUUUUCUGUCUGUUUGUUGUGGUUGUUGGUAACUUGAAUGGGCAGUUCUACAGCAUGAACUUUGUAUGUGACAGUGUCAUGUCACAGUGUUAGAGGUUGGACACUCCUGCUAAGGUCCUUCACUUCACCUGCCACCACCGUGACCUUUGCUUACAGGGUCUGCUGCUCAGGGCCAGCGUGCUGGUGCUCCUGGCACUUGAGGUCCCUGGCUUAAUGACUUCUCACUGAAAUGUCAGGAGCUUUAGGAGCAGGAGCAUCUCCUAGCCAGGCUGGGAGCCCUGCUUUAGAGAGGAGCCAUGCAUCCCAGUAUGCCAGCUACAGGAUCCACUUAAUGCCAAAUGGUAGCCAUGGUUCUGCUGGAACGAAGCCGGAACAAAGACCCUAAACACCUCUGCCCCCGUGGAGCUUACAUGAGGAAGAAGGACAAGAAACAAGCAUAACUAGAGGCAGAACUGGAUAUGGCGAAGGAGCAGCUCUGGGCAAGUGAGAUGGGAUGCUGUCAUUUGCAUCCCUUGCUCAGUGCUGUGGUGUAAAUAUUUCCACUGUGGUCUGAUUCCCUCCAUGGCCAACAUUAAGCCCUCAACCGAACAUCAAUCGGCUGCAAACUCUACAAUGGAUUCUCAGCGUUAUAGGCAGCAGGACUGGAGGACUCCAGGUCACAGACGAGGACAGCUGAAGGAGAUCACAUGGGCUAGAAUGAAGCCAACCCUUACCUCACCCCUCAGAACCACUCAUGACUAUCUCAGGAGGUGAAGAAGCUGGGAUAUGCUCCCCUGAUCUCUCCCUCUGGGCUAGAAUGCUGAUGCCAGGGGCUGGAAAUGCAACUAUAAGAAGUUCUCGUGUUGGAUGUA
Long non-coding RNA from Mus musculus (house mouse), 1557 nucleotides. RefSeq annotates it as predicted gene, 34442. The record is from RefSeq and is a predicted model, not a curated record. NCBI's taxonomy places the organism in Eukaryota, Metazoa, Chordata, Mammalia, Rodentia, Muridae. The transcript is spliced from 4 exons.